ACUUGAGCUGUCUGGGCAGAACUUUGGAAAAUGUUUUGUUCGUUCGGCUCGAGUCA
Molecule: microRNA precursor, 56 nt
Filed under: Limulus polyphemus (Atlantic horseshoe crab)
Lineage: Eukaryota; Metazoa; Arthropoda; Merostomata; Xiphosura; Limulidae
Description: Lpo-Mir-375-P10_pre stem-loop
Source: RNAcentral